AGGUUGGCUUAGAAGCAGCCAUCCUUUAAAGAAAGCGUAAUAGCUCACUAGUCGAAUCGGCCUGCGCGGAAGAUAUAACGGGGCUCAAACUAUACACCGAAGCUACGGACGCAUGCUUGCAUGCGUGGUAGAGGAGCGUUCUGUAGGCCGUUGAAGGGAAAGCUGAGAGGCAUCCUGGAGGUAUCAGAAGUGCGAAUGCUGACAUGAGUAACGAUAAGGGGAGUGAAAAGCUCCCCCGCCGGAAGACCAAGGUUUCCUAUCCAAUGCUAAUCAGGGUAGGGUGAGUCGGCCCCUAAGGCGAGGCUGAAGAGCGUAGUCGAUGGGAAGCAGGUUAAUAUUCCUGCACCACUCAAUAUUGCGAAGGAGGGACGGAGAAGGCUAGUCCAGCGCGGCGUUGGUUGUCCGCGUUUAAGCGUGUAGGCUUAAAUCUUAGGUAAAUCCGGGAUUUUUUAAGGCUGAGGCGUGAUGACGAGGUCCAUUAGGACUGAAGUGGUUGAUGCCAUGCUUCCAGGAAAAGCUUCUAAGCAUCAGAUAUUGAGUGACCGUACCCCAAACCGACACAGGUGGUCAGGUAGAGAAUACCAAGGCGCUUGAGAGAACUCGGGUGAAGGAACUAGGCAAAAUGGUACCGUAACUUCGGGAGAAGGUACGCCGCUGAUGGUGAUGGGACUUGCUCCCUAAGCUGUUGGCGGCCGAAGAUACCAGGUGGCUGCGACUGUUUAUUAAAAACACAGCACUGUGCAAACACGAAAGUGGACGUAUACGGUGUGACGCCUGCCCGGUGCCGGAAGGUUAAUUGAUGGGGUUAGCUUCGGCGAAGCUCUUGAUCGAAGCCCCGGUAAACGGCGGCCGUAACUAUAACGGUCCUAAGGUAGCGAAAUUCCUUGUCGGGUAAGUUCCGACCUGCACGAAUGGCGUAACGACGGCCACACUGUCUCCACCCGAGACUCAGUGAAAUUGAAAUCGCUGUUAAGAUGCAGUGUAUCCGCGGCUAGACGGAAAGACCCCGUGAACCUUUACUAUAGCUUCACAGUGAACUUUGAACCUAUUUGUGUAGGAUAGGUGGGAGGCUUUGAAGCGGUGACGCUAGUCAUCGUGGAGCCAAACUUGAAAUACCACCCUGGUAUGUUUGAGGUUCUAACUCAGGUCCGUAAUCCGGAUCGAGGACACUGUGUGGUGGGUAGUUUGACUGGGGCGGUCUCCUCCCAAAGAGUAACGGAGGAGCACGAAGGUAUGCUAAUCAUGGUCGGAAAUCAUGAGGUUAGUGCAAUGGCAUAAGCAUGCUUAACUGCGAGACAGACACGUCGAGCAGAUACGAAAGUAGGUCAUAGUGAUCCGGUGGUUCUGAAUGGAAGGGCCAUCGCUCAACGGAUAAAAGGUACUCCGGGGAUAACAGGCUGAUACCGCCCAAGAGUUCACAUCGACGGCGGUGUUUGGCACCUCGAUGUCGGCUCAUCACAUCCUGGGGCUGAAGCCGGUCCCAAGGGUAUGGCUGUUCGCCAUUUAAAGUGGUACGCGAGCUGGGUUUAGAACGUCGUGAGACAGUUCGGUCCCUAUCUGCCGUGGACGUUUGAGAUUUGAGAAGAGUUGCUCCUAGUACGAGAGGACCGGAGUGAACGAACCUCUGGUGUUCCGGUUGUCACGCCAGUGGCAUUGCCGGGUAGCUACGUUCGGACAGGAUAACCGCUGAAAGCAUCUAAGCGGGAAGCCCCCUUCAAGAUGAGAUCUCACAGGACUUUAAGUCCCUAAAGAGCCGUUCAAGACUAGGACGUUGAUAGGUUGGGUGUGUAAGCACGGUAACGUGUUGAGCUAACCAAUACUAAUUGCUCGUGAGGCUUGACCAU
This 1844-nucleotide ribosomal RNA is filed under the name seawater metagenome. RNAcentral describes it as "bacterial LSU rRNA". It matches the Rfam family "Bacterial large subunit ribosomal RNA", at positions 1098 to 2925 of the family's 2925-position model. The record is from RNAcentral.